Homo sapiens (human) is the source of this 435-nucleotide long non-coding RNA. RefSeq lists it as uncharacterized. NCBI's taxonomy places the organism in Eukaryota, Metazoa, Chordata, Mammalia, Primates, Hominidae. The record is from RefSeq and is a predicted model, not a curated record. The transcript has 2 exons.
GGUCUCAAACGAUCUUCAUGUCUUGGCCUCCCAAAGUGCUGAGAUUACAGGCAUGAGCCACCAUGCCUGGCCCAGGUUAUUCUUAAUCUCACCUUUUAGAGGUAGAAAGUGGAGAGCCCCGCCCUGUGGGCUUUAAAUCUUGUUCCACUUCAGACACUUUCACAGCUCUGACAUCAUGAAUACUGUAAUCACCCAGCACAGGAGGGACUGCGAUUCCCAGAACUCUGACAUCAACAGCCUGUGAGGACAGCAAGCUGGAUGUGGCUCGCUCUGAACAUCUGCCUCUCCACUCAGGAGACCUAGCUCCUUGCAGAGCCUCAUUCUUCCACGUGUUUCAGGGCGACCCCAGCGGGUAGAUAACAUGCACCCAUAGAUGAGUCCUGGUUGCCACUUGAUUUUGAAAGGAAAAAUAAAAUUGCAUUUAUUUCCAAAUGA